CGAGGCCCGCGGGGCGGGCGGGCGCGCGCGCGGGCGGGCACGUGGGGCCUCUUCGUCCCUGGCGUCCCGGCGGCCCGCGCCAUCCCCCACCCGGUCCCGGCCCCGUGGCGGCGGCGGCCGACAAAAUCAUUUAGAACCAGAGAGAUGAAAUGACUAACUCAAGGUCACUCAGUGUGGAGGAGACAGUGUCGAGGAUGGAAUCCAGACCUUCUGAUUUCCUUAUUGAACUACUCCGUCUUGUGGACACGUGAGUUCCACAAGAUUUCAACAUGAAUUCUACCACCCAUUUUACAGAUGAAGUCACUGAGAUAUGGAGCAACUGACUAAAUAGUCAUAGCCGCACCCAUGGAACCUCACAGAUGACUCUUCUCUCAAUCAGUUGAAGUGUGGUCUUGUUAGCACAGCAAGGUAGUUUAAAAUAUGACUUUGGAUCCAGCCUGUUGGAUUUGAAUUCUGAUUCUGCCAUUUACUGUGUAGUUGUGGAGUUUACAGAGCAGUCAGAAUGACCCUCAAAGGACCCAGAAGAUGGCUCAGUGGCUUACAGUGCAUACAUGGUGAGCACAGCAUUGAGAGUUCAAAACUUCCGUAUACUUUCACUGUCUGACAGCUCUGCUGUUGAAGAUCUCAGAGAGGAAGGGCCUGGACUUAGUCUAGGGAGCGGGAUGAGGAGGGAUGCUUGAGCCAACCCGACAGUGCUGGGAUUCAAACCUUGGAAUCAUUGCUGCAGCCACAUGCAAGGCAAAGGACUCGAAGCCAGGGACCCCUGCACACAAGACAUAUGCAAAGAUAUACGCAAUACUUCCAAGCCAUAUCCUUCUGCCCUUCCACCAAGUUUCAGUAUUGUACCUGCUUUUCAAAAUAAAAUUUUUUAUUCACA
Molecule: long non-coding RNA, 877 nt
Organism: Sorex fumeus (smoky shrew)
Lineage: Eukaryota; Metazoa; Chordata; Mammalia; Eulipotyphla; Soricidae
Exons: 7
Source: RefSeq, a predicted model, not a curated record